GUGGGGAAUAUUGGACAAUGGGGGGAACCCUGAUCCAGCCAUGCCGCGUGUGUGAAGAAGGCCUUUUGGUUGUAAAGCACUUUAAGCGAGGAGGAGGCUACCGAGAUUAAUACUCUUGGAUAGUGGACGUUACUCGCAGAAUAAGCACCGGCUAACUCUGUGCCAGCAGCCGCGGUAAUACAGAGGGUGCAAGCGUUAAUCGGAUUUACUGGGCGUAAAGCGCGCGUAGGUGGCCUAUUAAGUCAAAUGUGAAAUACCCGAGCUUAACUUGAGAAUUGCAUUCGAUACUGGUUGGCUAGAGUAUGGGAGAGGAUGGUAGAAAUCCAGGUGUAGCGGUGAUAUACGUAGAGAUCUGGAGGAAUACCGAUGGCGAAGGCAGCCAUCUGGCCUAAUACUGUCACUGAGGUGCGAAAGCAUGGGGAGCAAACAGGAUUAGAAACCCGUGUAGUCC
RNAcentral lists this ribosomal RNA (451 nucleotides) under uncultured bacterium. Its description in RNAcentral is "bacterial SSU rRNA". It matches the Rfam family "Bacterial small subunit ribosomal RNA", at positions 354 to 796 of the family's 1533-position model. The record is from RNAcentral.